RNAcentral lists this ribosomal RNA (429 nucleotides) under Bacteroidota bacterium. RNAcentral describes it as "Bacteroidetes bacterium partial 16S ribosomal RNA". It matches the Rfam family "Bacterial small subunit ribosomal RNA", at positions 355 to 776 of the family's 1533-position model. Lineage: Bacteria; Pseudomonadati; Bacteroidota. The record is from RNAcentral.
UAGGGAAUCUUCGGCAAUGGGGGGAACCCUGACCGAACAACGCCGCGUGAGUGAAGAAGGUUUUCGGAUCGUAAAGCUCUGUUGUUAAGGAAGAACGAGUGUGAGAAUGGAAAGUUCAUGCUGUGACGGUACUUAACCAGAAAGGGACGGCUAACUACGUGCCAGCAGCCGCGGUAAUACGUAGGUCCCGAGCGUUGUCCGGAUUUAUUGGGCGUAAAGCGAGCGCAGGCGGUUAGAAAAGUCUGAAGUGAAAGGCAGUGGCUCAACCAUUGUAGGCUUUGGAAACUGUUUAACUUGAGUGCAGAAGGGGAGAGUGGAAUUCCAUGUGUAGCGGUGAAAUGCGUAGAUAUAUGGAGGAACACCGGUGGCGAAAGCGGCUCUCUGGUCUGUAACUGACGCUGAGGCUCGAAAGCGUGGGGAGCGAACAGG